Molecule: long non-coding RNA, 450 nt
Organism: Aedes aegypti (yellow fever mosquito)
Lineage: Eukaryota; Metazoa; Arthropoda; Insecta; Diptera; Culicidae
Exons: 2
Source: RefSeq, a predicted model, not a curated record
GCAGCUCGUUGUUCGACAGGACCCGAUAGAGGAAGUCAAUGUACCUGGGGAUUAGAGAGAAAGUGAAGAAUGGAAGCAUCUCCAAGGCAACAACGAAACGCGGGAAAGAUUCCCCAUCGGCUUCAACGGUCGAAAUAACAACGGUGCGGGAUUUAGCUACUAUUUUAUGAUGUCAUCGCGGAUUCCUCCAGUCAGACAGGCUUAGCUACUAUAGUCAGUGGCAGGAGAAAAUGUUCCCACCGAAAAUAUAUAAUCUUCGACGGAGACGCGGCUUUGUUGACCUUACGUCAUCGCCUUCGCCAUUUUGACGGGUUGUUGAUGUGUGUUUUCCGUAUUUUUUUAUUAUUAUUUGUACGAGAGAUGGAUUACGUGGUAAUGCUAACCUAAUAGGUAUAAUAUUUUGCUUGUAUAGUCUAUUCUUUAUAUCUCGAUAUUGAAUGACCAUCGAAA